This 301-nucleotide ribosomal RNA is filed under the name uncultured bacterium. Its description in RNAcentral is "partial 16S ribosomal RNA". It matches the Rfam family "Bacterial small subunit ribosomal RNA", at positions 509 to 809 of the family's 1533-position model. The record is from RNAcentral.
CAGCCGCCACGGGAAUACGGAGGGUGCAAGCGUUAUCCGGAUUUAUUGGGUUUAAAGGGUCCGUAGGCGGAUCUGUAAGUCAGUGGUGAAAUCUCACAGCUUAACUGUGAAACUGCCAUUGAUACUGCAGGUCUUGAGUAAAUUUGAAGUGGCUGGAAUAAGUAGUGUAGCGGUGAAAUGCAUAGAUAUUACUUAGAACACCAAUUGCGAAGGCAGGUCACUAAGAUUUAACUGACGCUGAUGGACGAAAGCGUGGGGAGCGAACAGGAUUAGAGACCCCGGUAGUCCCUGUCUCUUAUAA